AAGCAGAUGCAAAGAUAGGUGAA
RNAcentral lists this non-coding RNA (23 nucleotides) under Arabidopsis thaliana (thale cress). The record is from RNAcentral. Lineage: Eukaryota; Viridiplantae; Streptophyta; Magnoliopsida; Brassicales; Brassicaceae.